This 332-nucleotide ribosomal RNA is filed under the name uncultured bacterium. Its description in RNAcentral is "bacterial SSU rRNA". It matches the Rfam family "Bacterial small subunit ribosomal RNA", at positions 568 to 898 of the family's 1533-position model. The record is from RNAcentral.
CGCGUAGGCGGCUUGUACAGUCAGACGUGAAAUUCCUGGGCUCAACCUGGGGGCUGCGUUUGAUACGUGCGGGCUUGAGUUCGGAAGAGGGUCGUGGAAUUCCCAGUGUAGAGGUGAAAUUCGUAGAUAUUGGGAAGAACACCGGUGGCGAAGGCGGCGACCUGGUCCGAUACUGACGCUGAGGCGCGAAAGCGUGGGGAGCAAACAGGAUUAGAUACCUUGGUAGUCCACGCCGUAAACGAUGUGCGCUGGAUGUUGGGUGACAUAGUCAUUCAGUGUCGUAGCUAACGCGAUAAGCGCACCGCCUGGGGGAGUACGGCCGCAAGGUUGAA